UUUGUUUUUUUUUAUUUGGUAAUUUCCUGUACGUAUCCAACUUCACUUGGCUUGUUCUCUUGUGUAUCCAUCAUAUCAAUCCAUUAAUUACAGUUGGAUAUGCAUAUAUGGUACGUCUAUAAAUAAGAGCAGCGUAGAGAGGGUUUAAUUGCACUAUCAACUCCCGAAAUGAAGUCCACUCUACUUAUAAUCUCCCUUCUCUUGGCGUCCACACUUUUCCUUCCUUCUUCCAUUUUAGCUAGAGAAUUAUCUGCCAAACCUGAUAUUAAUAAAGGACCCGUGACUGGAGGAACCGCCGAUCCAAACCACCCAGCAGUGAAAUGUGGUCCUGGUGUUCCCUAUACUAAAUGCCUGAACCCCCCAAAAUCAAAACCAAGUCCUCCAUCAUGUAAUCGGUACAUACGUAAUUGCCCACCGGCCUGAAGGUGUUUGGGAUAAGAAGCUGCAUGGUGGAUCGUCGACAGCAUGCAGUGCCGCUUAAUAAGAUGAAGUAGGUUUUGUACGUCUAAUAUAUCGUUUUUGGGGGUUUCUGUGGCUUUAUAUAGAAUUCUGAUUGCUUUUAUAUGCACUCAGCACUCAGAAUUAAACCUAUUGCUUUUUUUUUUUUUUGGCAAUAAUUAUUGAUGUAAUGCAUGUGUGCAAAAUAAAAGAGCUGAUCGACUCAUGAGUCAAUCCGUUGCUUUAUUUUACUAAGGGAAGUCCCAUACAAUUUUAUGUAUUAUCCUUUAUCUGCCUUAUCACAAA
Molecule: long non-coding RNA, 744 nt
Organism: Alnus glutinosa
Lineage: Eukaryota; Viridiplantae; Streptophyta; Magnoliopsida; Fagales; Betulaceae
Exons: 2
Source: RefSeq, a predicted model, not a curated record